UACUUCUAAGGAAGGCAGCAGGCGCGCAAACUACCCAAUCGACAACGUCGGAGGUGGUGACGAGCAGUACUGGAUGCUUGAUUUUUAAAUUCGGGCAUUCAGAAUGAACGAUGCACAGAUACUACGCUGAAUGCAAGAAGAGGGCAAGUCUGGUGCCAGCAGCCGCGGUAAUUCCAGCUCUUCGAGCAUAUAUUAAAGUUGUUGCGUUUAAAACGCCCGUAGUUGAGAUUCUAAUUAUGUGAGGAGAGGUGUGUGUGUGUGUGGUGUGUGUAUAAGUGUGUGUGUGUGUGUGUGUGUGUGUAAGUGUAUGGAGGUGAAGAUGGAGAUGGUUGUGUGAGUGAGAGUAAAAGGAAUGGAUGGAAUGGAUGAAAGAGAGAGAAAGAGGAAAGGAAGAAGUGAAGAGAGAGGGAAGGGGGUUAGAUGAAGGAAGGAGGGAAGUGAGAGAAGUAAGAGAGAGGGAGGGAGAGAGAGAGAGAGAGUGGGAGUGAGAGAGUUACGAACAAAGGAGUAACAAUGGAUGCAGAUUGUUGGGAAGUAAGUCCAGUAUAAGUGAUAUGGUCAGAUGCACAUAUCAACUGGACGAACGCUCUAACAAGUCGUUGAUACUUCCGACUCUCAGAAGAAGCGUAAGAUUGAAUUGCAUAUACAUGAUGGGCAUGUGUAUGAUGGAGUCGUCAUUCAUAUAUGUACGAUGGUAUACAGUACAAUAUGAUAUGGUGGUGGUUGUGGCUGUGGUGUAGCCAUGCACAGUUAGGUGUGUGGUUAUGUUACAAUCGUAAUCAUUAUCAUUAUCUAAUUGUGUAUCUUCGCAUGUGUGUGAGUGGCGAUGAAAUUAUGUAUGCAAUUCAAUCUUACACUCCUUCUGGGGGUCUGGGGAAUUGGCGACUUGUUAAAAGCGUUCGUCCAGUUGGUACGUGCAUCUGUUCAUCUUGCUUAUAUUGUAUGAGCUUCCCAACAGUUUGUUGAAUCUGUUACUUCUUUCUUUAUAACUCUCUUUCUCUCAUUCUCUCUCUCUCUCUCUCUCUCUCUCCUACUUCUCUUCCUUUUCUCUUUUUGAAGUCUUUCACCCUUUCUCUUCAUGGAUUUCUUAAAUCUUUUGAUCUUGAUCAUACAUACAUUCAUUUCUUCUCAUGAUCAUAAUAAUCAUAAUCAUAAUCAUCUUUAUAUAAAUACAUAAACAUAUAUACAUAAACAUAAAUACAUAUACAUAUACAUAUAUCUCUCUCUCUCAUGAUUGAAUUUAGUUACCAUAAAGAAAUUGGAGUGUCUCAAGCAGGUCUUGCCUUAACGGGCGUUGGCCCCUGUACAUUGCAGUAUGGAAUAACAGAUUAGACCUAUGUCUGUCUGCUGGUCAAGUCCUCAUCAUAGGGAUCGGUGGAUUUAUUCUAAUAUGUGAUGUUAGUGUUCUCAUAUUGAGUAUUUAUUGAUAACUUAUGAUUUAACAAGUUGUUUCAGUAUUUCGGUAUUGAGAUGAUGGAAUUGAAUUGUAUGGAGUAGGUAAGUAUUCAAUAUGAGGUCCAACAUUAACAUUGUGUAUUAGUGUAUCUAUUGAUAACUGGUUGAGGAACAGAUGUGGCGUGAUGGUAAAUAGGGGCGGUAUCGGGGGCAUAAGUAUUGGGCCGGGAGAGGUAAAAUUCUAUGAUCGGCCCACGACUAACUGAGGCGAAAGCGCUUGCCAAGGACGCUUUCAUUGAUCAAGGACGAUAGCUGGGGGAGAGAAGGAGAUCAGACACCUCUGUAUUCCCAAGCUGUAAACGAUGCCGACUAGGUAUGGGGAGUAGUUCUUAAUUGAUAUUCUCCGUGCCCCACGAGAAAUCUGUAAGUAUUCAGGUUACGGGGGGAGUAUGGUCGCAAGGCUGAAACUUAAAGGAAUUGACGGAAGGGCACCACAAUUGGCGUGGAGCCUGCGGCUUAAUUGGAUUCAACGCCGUUAAACUUACCGGGCCCUGACUCGCUCGGGAUAGACAGGACUACGUUCUUUCGUGAUUGCGAGAGUGGUGGUGCAUGGCCGUUCUUAGUUCGUGGUGUGAACUGUCUGCUUAAUUGCGAUAACGGACGAGACCUCCGCCUAGUGACUGUCUAGGUUAAUAGGAUACUUCUGUAUUCUGUUAAUCUGGAUAGUUUUAAUAGGAGAAAGGUGGUGAGUGUAUAUAUAUAUAUAUAUGUAUAUAUGUAUAUACAUGGAUGGAUAGAAAUGGAAUGGAAUGGUGUAGAAAUGGAUGGGUGGAUGAAGUGUGAUGGAAAUGGAUAUGCAUUAUGCAUUGGAGUAAUGUAUAUGCAUUUGGGUGAUUGGAGUGGAAUGGGGUUAAGGGGGCAGAUGUAUAUAACAGUAUGUCUGUCUUUUUGAUUUCAUUUGCUUUGAUCUUUCAGAUGUGUAUAUGUGUUUGGAUACCAAUGUUAUAUAUUCAUAUUCAUGUUCAUUAUAUUAUGGUCCAUUCAUUUCAUUCCAUUUCAUAUUUAUUCAUUCAUGUAUAUAUACAAAUAAAUAAAUAUAUAUAUAUAUACAUUCUCCAUAUACCAAACUUUCUCCUUCACAGGGACUAUUGCUUAUAAAGCGUCGGAAGCGUGAGGCAAUAACAGGUCA
This 2584-nucleotide ribosomal RNA is filed under the name Chilomastix caulleryi. Its description in RNAcentral is "partial small subunit ribosomal RNA". It matches the Rfam family "Eukaryotic small subunit ribosomal RNA", at positions 411 to 1831 of the family's 1831-position model. The record is from RNAcentral. Lineage: Eukaryota; Fornicata; Retortamonadidae.